Molecule: long non-coding RNA, 558 nt
Organism: Bombina bombina (fire-bellied toad)
Lineage: Eukaryota; Metazoa; Chordata; Amphibia; Anura; Bombinatoridae
Exons: 2
Source: RefSeq, a predicted model, not a curated record
CUGCAUCCUGGUACAGGUGUGUACUUAUCUGUACCACAGUGGACUGCAGCACAUCAAUGUGGUACAGCUUCUGCGUUUGUUAGAGCGGUCAUUGUGGGUUUAUUUGACACUGAAACAUUAAUAAGGAGUAACUUUAAAGGCGGUGCCUCCAAGCGGCCAACAAAUGGAGAGAAGCGUAUGCAGUUAGACCCUGUGAAAACAUCAGCUCUGACAGCUGCUACUCUGGAGAAGUUUCCUGGAACUUCAAAAGGCGUCAUAAGUGACGCAGUUAACAGAAAAAUCGCAGAGUUGAAAUAUCGCCUUUUGAAGGAAACAUCAGUCAAGACCUCAGCAGGAUAACAAAAAUACAUACCCACACUACAAACACACUACAUGUACAUACAAAUACAUUUUAUAAUGUCAUUUACAACAGAUUAAAAAAUAUAUUUUAUAUUCUAUGUGUUCUACAAGUUUUAAAAUUGUAUAUUUAAAUGAUAUUUAAGUUCUCUAUAUUGUACUGUUUAUUUUAUUUUUCACAUCCAGUGAAUAUUUUGGAAUAUAUAUAUAUUUGGAAUUCAA